RNAcentral lists this ribosomal RNA (497 nucleotides) under uncultured bacterium. RNAcentral describes it as "partial 16S ribosomal RNA". It matches the Rfam family "Bacterial small subunit ribosomal RNA", at positions 28 to 507 of the family's 1533-position model. The record is from RNAcentral.
GAUGAACGCUGGCGGCGUGCCUAAUACAUGCAAGUCGAGCGAACAGAUAAGGAGCUUGCUCCUUUGACGUUAGCGGCGGACGGGUGAGUAACACGUGGGUAACCUACCUAUAAGACUGGAAUAACUCCGGGAAACCGGGGCUAAUGCCGGAUAACAUUUAGAACCGCAUGGCUCUAAAGUGAAAGAUGGUUUUGCUAUCACUUAUAGAUGGACCCGCGCCGUAUUAGCUAGUUGGUAAGGUAACGGCUUACCAAGGCAACGAUACGUAGCCGACCUGAGAGGGUGAUCGGCCACGCUGGAACUGAGACACGGUCCAGACUCCUACGGGAGGCAGCAGUAGGGAAUCUUCCGCAAUGGGCGAAAGCCUGACGGAGCAACGCCGCGUGAGUGAUGAAGGUCUUCGGAUCGUAAAACUCUGUUAUUAGGGAAGAACAAAUGUGUAAGUAACUGUGCACGUCUUGACGGUACCUAAUCAGAAAGCCACGGCUAACUACGUG